RNAcentral lists this non-coding RNA (29 nucleotides) under Rattus norvegicus (Norway rat). Lineage: Eukaryota; Metazoa; Chordata; Mammalia; Rodentia; Muridae. The record is from RNAcentral.
UGAUGUCUCAGGGUUUGGACUAUGGAGAA